UGCAUCGGCCGGGAAUCGAACCCGCGUGGCAGGAGAGCAUUUUACCACUGAACCACCGAUGG
RNAcentral lists this transfer RNA (62 nucleotides) under Cordylochernes scorpioides. Its description in RNAcentral is "tRNA-Ser". Lineage: Eukaryota; Metazoa; Arthropoda; Arachnida; Pseudoscorpiones; Chernetidae. The record is from RNAcentral.